AGCGGCGGACGGGUGAGUAAUGCCUAGGAAUCUGCCUGGUAGUGGGGGAUAACGUUCCGAAAGGAACGCUAAUACCGCGUACGUCCUACGGGAGAAAGCAGGGGACCUUCGGGCCUUGCGCUAUCAGAUGAGCCUAGGUCGGAUUAGCUAGUUGGUGAGGUAAUGGCUCACCAAGGCGACGAUCCGUAACUGGUCUGAGAGGAUGAUCAGUCACACUGGAACUGAGACACGGUCCAGACUCCUACGGGAGGCAGCAGUGGGGAAUAUUGGACAAUGGGCGAAAGCCUGAUCCAGCCAUGCCGCGUGUGUGAAGAAGGUCUUCGGAUUGUAAAGCACUUUAAGUUGGGAGGAAGGGCAGUAACCUAAUACUCUGCUGUUUUGACGUUACCAACAGAAUAAGCACCGGCUAACUUCGUGCCAGCAGCCGCGGUAAUACGAAGGGUGCAAGCGUUAAUCGGAAUUACUGGGCGUAAAGCGCGCGUAGGUGGUUCGUUAAGUUGGAUGUGAAAGCCCCGGGCUCAACCUGGGAACUGCAUCCAAAACUGGCGAGCUAGAGUACGGUAGAGGGUAGUGGAAUUUCCUGUGUAGCGGUGAAAUGCGUAGAUAUAGGAAGGAACACCAGUGGCGAAGGCGACUACCUGGACUGAUACUGACACUGAGGUGCGAAAGCGUGGGGAGCAAACAGGAUUAGAUACCCUGGUAGUCCACGCCGUAAACGAUGUCAACUAGCCGUUGGAAUCCUUGAGAUUUUAGUGGCGCAGCUAACGCAUUAAGUUGACCGCCUGGGGAGUACGGCCGCAAGGUUAAAACUCAAUGAAUUGACGGGGGCCCGCACAAGCGGUGGAGCAUGUGGUUUAAUUCGUAGCAACGCGAAGAACCUUACCUGGCCUUGACAUGCUGAGAACUUUCCAGAGAUGGAUUGGUGCUUCGGGACUCAGACACAGGUGCUGCAUGCUGUCGUCAGCUC
Molecule: ribosomal RNA, 967 nt
Filed under: Pseudomonas sp.
Lineage: Bacteria; Pseudomonadati; Pseudomonadota; Gammaproteobacteria; Pseudomonadales; Pseudomonadaceae
Description: bacterial SSU rRNA
Rfam family: Bacterial small subunit ribosomal RNA
Source: RNAcentral